Molecule: ribosomal RNA, 460 nt
Filed under: uncultured bacterium
Lineage: Bacteria
Description: partial 16S ribosomal RNA
Rfam family: Bacterial small subunit ribosomal RNA
Source: RNAcentral
CCUACGGGAGGCAGCAGUGAGGAAUAUUGGUCAAUGGACGAGAGUCUGAACCAGCCAAGUAGCGUGCAGGAUGACUGCCCUAUGGGUUGUAAACUUCUUUUAUAUAGGAAUCCAAUGUUCCACGUGUGGCUUUUUGUAUGUACUAUAUGAAUAAGGAUCGGCUAACUCCGUGCCAGCAGCCGCGGUAAUACGGAGGAUCCGAGCGUUAUCCGGAUUUAUUGGGUUUAAAGGGAGCGUAGUUGGGUUGUUAAGUCAGUUGUGAAAGUUUGCGGCUCAACCGUAAAAUUGCAGUUGAAACUGGCAGUCUGGAGUACAGUAGAGGUGGGCGGAAUUCGUGGUGUAGCGGUGAAAUGCUUAGAUAUCACGAAGAACUCCGAUUGCGAAGGCAGUUCACUGGACUGCAACUGACAUUGAGGCUCGAAAGUGUGGGGAUCAAACAGGAUUAGAUACCCUGGUAGUC